UUUAAUUGAAGAGUUUGAUCAUGGCUCAGAUUGAACGCUGGCGGCAGGCCUAACACAUGCAAGUCGGGCGGUAACAGGGAGAAGCUUGCUUCUCCGCUGACGAGCGGCGGACGGGUGAGUAAUGUAUGGGGAUCUGCCUGAUGGCGGGGGAUAACUACUGGAAACGGUAGCUAAUACCGCAUAAUGUCUUCGGACCAAAGCGGGGGACCUCCG
This 213-nucleotide ribosomal RNA is filed under the name Morganella morganii. RNAcentral describes it as "partial 16S ribosomal RNA". It matches the Rfam family "Bacterial small subunit ribosomal RNA", at positions 1 to 215 of the family's 1533-position model. Lineage: Bacteria; Pseudomonadati; Pseudomonadota; Gammaproteobacteria; Enterobacterales; Morganellaceae. The record is from RNAcentral.